UACAGAGGGUGCGAGCGUUAAUCGGAAUUACUGGACGUAAAGCGCACGUAGGUGGCUUUGCAAGUCGAUUGUGAAAUCCCCGGGCUUAACCUGGGAACUGCAGUCGAGACUGCUCUGCUUGAGUAUGGGAGAGGGAGGUGGAAUUUCCGGUGUAGCGGUGAAAUGCUUAGAUAUGACAUAGAACACCAAUUGCGAAGGCAGCUUACUACACGAAAAUUGACACUGAGGCACGAAAGCGUGGGGAUCAAACAGG
Molecule: ribosomal RNA, 253 nt
Filed under: uncultured bacterium
Lineage: Bacteria
Description: partial 16S ribosomal RNA
Rfam family: Bacterial small subunit ribosomal RNA
Source: RNAcentral